Molecule: ribosomal RNA, 492 nt
Filed under: uncultured bacterium
Lineage: Bacteria
Description: partial 16S ribosomal RNA
Rfam family: Bacterial small subunit ribosomal RNA
Source: RNAcentral
AGUGAACGCUGGCGGUAGGCCUAACACAUGCAAGUCGAACGGCAGCACAGUAAGAGCUUGCUCUUACGGGUGGCGAGUGGCGGACGGGUGAGGAAUACAUCGGAAUCUACUUUUUCGUGGGUGAUAACGUAGGGAAACUUACGCUAAUACCGCAUACGACCUACGGGUGAAAGCAGGGGAUCUUCGGACCUUGCGCGAUUGAAUGAGCCGAUGUCGGAUUAGCUAGUUGGCGGGGUAAAGGCCCACCAAGGCGACGAUCCGUAGCUGGUCUGAGAGGAUGAUCAGUCACACUGGAACUGAGACACGGUCCAGACUCCUACGGGAGGCAGCAGUGGGGAAUAUUGGACAAUGGGCGAAAGCCUGAUCCAGCCAUACCGCGUGGGUGAAGAAGGCCUUCGGGUUGUAAAGUCCUUUUGUUGGGAAAGAAAAGCAGCAGGUUAAUACCCCGCUGUUCUGACGGUACCAAAAGAAUAAGCACCGGCUAACUUCGUG